GACGAACGCUGGCGGCGUGCCUAAUACAUGCAAGUCGAGCGGACCAACGGAGAGCUUGCUCUCCUGAGGUCAGCGGCGGACGGGUGAGUAACACGUAGGCAACCUGCCUGUACGACUGGGAUAACUCCGGGAAACCGGAGCUAAUACCGGAUAGGAUUUCAGACCGCAUGGUCUGAAAUGGAAAGACCUUGUGUCACGUACAGAUGGGCCUGCGGCGCAUUAGCUAGUUGGUGGGGUAACGGCCUACCAAGGCGACGAUGCGUAGCCGACCUGAGAGGGUGAUCGGCCACACUGGGACUGAGACACGGCCCAGACUCCUACGGGAGGCAGCAGUAGGGAAUCUUCCGCAAUGGACGAAAGUCUGACGGAGCAACGCCGCGUGAACGAUGAAGGUUUUCGGAUCGUAAAGUUCUGUUGUUAGGGAAGAACCGCCGGGAUGACCUCCCGGUCUGACGGUACCUAACGAGAAAGCCCCGGCUAACUACGUGCCAGCAGCCGCGGUAAUACGUAGGGGGCAAGCGUUGUCCGGAAUUAUUGGGCGUAAAGCGCGCGCAGGCGGCUUCUUAAGUCAGGUGUGAAAGCCCACGGCUCAACCGUGGAGGGCCACUUGAAACUGGGAGGCUUGAGUGCAGGAGAGGAGAGCGGAAUUCCACGUGUAGCGGUGAAAUGCGUAGAGAUGUGGAGGAACACCCGUGGCGAAGGCGGCUCUCUGGCCUGUAACUGACGCUGAGGCGCGAAAGCGUGGGGAGCGAACAGGAUUAGAUACCCUGGUAGUCCACGCCGUAAACGAUGAGUGCUAGGUGUUGGGGACUCCAAUCCUCAGUGCCGCAGCUAACGCAAUAAGCACUCCGCCUGGGGAGUACGGCCGCAAGGCUG
RNAcentral lists this ribosomal RNA (876 nucleotides) under uncultured bacterium. RNAcentral describes it as "bacterial SSU rRNA". It matches the Rfam family "Bacterial small subunit ribosomal RNA", at positions 28 to 896 of the family's 1533-position model. The record is from RNAcentral.